Molecule: long non-coding RNA, 1288 nt
Filed under: Equus caballus (horse)
Lineage: Eukaryota; Metazoa; Chordata; Mammalia; Perissodactyla; Equidae
Description: lncRNA (ENSECAG00000055665.1)
Source: RNAcentral
CUCUUUGAACUGGAGUAUUUGACUUGGGAUUUGGUAUUUGGUAUGAAACUUCUUUCAUAUGUAAAGCAGAGAGCUACACAACCAGGACUGUUGAUAUUCCAGGAAAACAGAAAUGUUUUCCCCCAAGGAAAAGGAAAGCAGAAGCAAGUGGAGGUUAGCAAGAUGUAAGCACUGAGAGUGACCCCCUCAGAGCCUUGUGUACCCCACAUAUGUCUCAGAAGGAUCUCUGCAGCAGAGACAAGGAAAACAACCCUGAAAUCCCUGACUUCCCCUUUCUCCCUUGGAGCUGGGCGUGCCUCGUGACUCCAUUUGGACCAACAGGAUCUAAGACGGCCCAUGGAGACAUGAUUUCCAGGAACCCCCAUACAGGGAGAGGGGAACCCUUGAUGCCGUCCGCUCUCCCUGCCCCCACAGCCCGGGACCCAGAGCCUUGCUGGAGCUCCAGGAGCUGCCCUGAGGGCUGAGGAGCUGCUAUCCUUAGCCUGCUGCGACCUUUGAUGCUGCCGCUACUCCUCUCUACUUGCUUUGCACUUGGGCUCUCCCCACCUCGAGGCUUCCUCGCACAGUGGUUCCCAUGUGGCUCAGUUUCUGCACCCUCUGCUGACCCUCUGAGUCUCCAGGGACAGACCCCUAGGAGGAAAUCUGGUCGACGAAUGGACAGCCCUGUGCAAGAAGGUGGCCAUCUUCAAACCAGGAAGAGAAUUCUCACCAGAUGCUGAAUCUGCCGACACCUUGAUCUUGGGCUUCCAUCCUCCAGAACUAGGAAAGUCCAUGUGAGGACAGCAAGAAGGCAGCUGUCAGCAACCCAAAGAGAUCUCACCAGGAACCGACCCUGACUACACCUUGAUCUUGGACUUCCGGUGUUCAGAAUCUUCCCAGAGUAAGGAAUCUGGGAGCAACUCAGCUGGGUAGUUCUGUCUCAGCGUCUCAUGAAAUUUCAGUCAAGAUGUCCGCCAGGGCUACAGCCAUCUGAAGGCUUGACUGGGGCUGGAAGGUCAGCUGCCAAGGUCACUGACUUGGUUGUUAGCUGGAGGCCUCAGUACUCGCCACAGGCACCUCUCCACAGGGCUGAAUGUCUUCAUGAUGCAGCAGCUGGCUUCUUCCAGAGCGAGUGAUCCAAGAGAGAGCAAGCAAGGAGGAAGCCACAGUGCCUUUACUACCUAGUCUCCAGAGUCACACACGGCCACUUCUGCUACAUUCUACUCGUUCGCAGCAAGUCACUAAGGUGCCCACACCAAAGGAGAGGGCAUUCAAGCUCUGCAGUCAGAUGGGAAGAAUAGCAAGGAAC